GGAUUUUGAUGAAUUUGCAACCACAAUUAUUCGAACGUCGGUGGAAGCUGUGUAAAUUUGCGGAGUACAAAGUGCUAUUUAUCCCCACUAUUAUUUCAACGCAAUAAGCAAAUUUCUUACUAAAGAAAGUGUGUAUUUAGUUGAGUAAAGUGAAAAACGCCAUAAUUAUAGUGGUAUGUGACAAGUGAGAAAUAAAUUGAAAGCAGGUCUAAUUAUAAAUAGUAAAAAGUGUGUUGCAAGAGACGAAAAAUUUGCCAAGCACAGUGUAGCACAAAAAAAAUUGCCGAUAUAGUGAAAGCUAACUAGCACAUAUUUCGGUUGUUGGAUGCUAGAAUUUGUCCAUUCGCUUCCAUUAUCAGCAAAGAAUUACAGUUCGAGGAAGUCAACUAUUUCGGAUUUUCCACAGCCUUGCUAUCGGGUAUGUCGGUCACCGCAGCCGAAUGGGUUGGUGCGUGAACUUCUCUUCUUCUUAAUUGGCGCGAUAACCGCUUAUGCGAUUUUGGCGGAGUUUAACAAAGCGCGCCAGUCGUUUCUUUCUCGUGCUAACCGGCGCCAAUUGGACACACCAAGUGAAGCCAAGUCCUUCUCCACCUGAUCUUUCCAACGCAGAGGAGGCCUUCUUCUUCCUUUACUACCACCAGCUGGUACCGCAUCGAAUACUUCCAGAACCGGUGCAUUCGUUCGACAUGACCCAGCCAGCCUAGCCGCUUGAUCUUUAUUCGCUGCGCUAUGUCUAUGUGGUCGUAAAGCUCAUACAGCUCAUCGUUCCAUCGUCUACGAGCCGUUGCCAAAGUGCAAAGGUCCAAAAAUCUUACGCAGAAUCUUUCUCUCGAACACUCCAAGCGUCGCUUCAUCGGAUGUUGUCAUCGUCCACGCUUCUGCGCCAUACGUUAGGGCG
Long non-coding RNA from Anastrepha obliqua, 898 nucleotides. RefSeq lists it as uncharacterized. The transcript has 2 exons. Lineage: Eukaryota; Metazoa; Arthropoda; Insecta; Diptera; Tephritidae. The record is from RefSeq and is a predicted model, not a curated record.